UGAAAUUUGUCUCCAAACAUGAUAUCAAAUUGGCUGAGACAGUCCACAAGCCCUCUUUAUCAUAUUUACAUUCAUGUACGGUAGAAUUGGUAGCAUAAACAACUACAAUAUACACCUAACAGGCAAUUCUCACACUCGAAGCAAAUUACCUGUAACAAGUUACCAUAAAUGGCAAAUCAAAUGGCUAGCUUUGCCUCUCAUGUAAAUAAUAAAUUAUACACUAUUUCAAUUGAUCUCGGAUUACACAAUGUGGGGAGCAUCUCUCACCCUCAACACAGCCAGAUAUGGAGGGAGGGAGGGAGGGGAGUAGGUGUAUUUGACAAGGGAAGAAAAAUAUAACAUUCAAAAAUUUUUGAAAGAUGUAUAUGAUCAGUUCCUUUUGCACCAGUUGGUUGAACUCUACUUUCUUUGUUGAAACACCAUCAAUUGAACUUCUUAAUGCUUAGAUCUUCAGUUGCUGGAGGCAGCAGCUGAAUAAUUGAAUCCUGUCUGACCGAAGGAUAAGAUGACAAGCUAAACCCCUCCAUCAUCAUAGAUUCAAUCAAUAUCCAUGCCUAAAAAGGGUAGCAUUGUCAUAACUUUGAGUGUUGUUUCCAUUGGGAACCACCUUCAAAUGCUUGCUCCAACACAUCUUCCAUUUUCUUGGCUAGUAAAAUCUGUAAAAAUAGAAAAAUAUGGAAAAUAAAUUGGCGUUGGAGAUGCAGCCCAUACAGUGCAAACAAAAGACCAUUUGAACAUCACGGAAAUUGAAUGGCAGACAAAUGCACGUGAGGCAAACAUCAUUAAAUAUCAUGCUCAAGGGAAUGAUUUCUGCUCCUUUUAUCCCUCUGCUCUAAUAGUUGGGAGAGAUGGGAUUUGAUCUCAGAAUCUUCUCUUUGAAAGAGAAUGUGGCUAACAAUUCUAUUAUGUAUGCCUCAGCAGCAAAGGAUGCGUAUAUUAAGUUCCAAUAAAAUUUCAAAGAAUACUUCUUUCAUAAUGUGAGGCCAAGUAAAUUGAAAUUGAUCAACAUUAAACCAUAAUUAGAAGUUAAUCACCUCAAGACUGCCAAGUACAGCUGAUGGUACUUCAACCAAGUCCUUCAAAUUUCUUUCUGUUAGUAUUACUCUCCGUAUUCGAUAACGAUGUGCUGCCAAUAUCUGCAAGAAAACAAUAUAAGAAUACACACUUCACUUCUGAUAUAAGCAUGCCAAUUUAUAUGGAACAAGGUGGAUAUUUAAGCUGCCAAAUUUCACAGCUGCGACACUGGUUCUUCAAACUGAAGGCUAAAAUUAAUAUUUGAGAAAGCAUAGAAUGUGCUCAUAGAUUAAGCAUACCACCAUAUCUUCACGGACCACAUAAUAACCAAUACAACAGUAAGAGCCAUCAAUUCAGGCAUGCACUGCAUGUAUAAUGACAAAUGCAAACUCAAACUAGACCAAUAAAUUUCUGUUCUAUACAUUCCCACUUUGCUAGAAGUUAAACUUCUGAUGUUAAAAGAAUUGAUGCAGCCUCAUCUUUUCACAUUCCCAACUGCUUAGCUGGAUGGUGGUCAUGCAAUAUGCAGAAAGGUAUCAAUCCUUACAAUUUGAGUGAAAGCCAGCACCAUGUGGCCAUUGCUUGGUAGUAUAUUCAGUAUAAUCUUAAAGAUAAUCCAUAGCCACCAUUUCAAUCCACCACAAAAAUCAUGGGUAAAACAUCAUAUAACCACACACACAAAAUCCAUGCACAAACACACUCACACACCCACCCUUGUGUUCACAAAUCCAACAUUCAUACAAUUAUACAAUCAUGGAGCUUGCAAGGUCAAAAAAAGAGAGAAAUUUAUCAAUAGUUCAACUCCAAAUAGAAUAGUGAUAACAUGAAUGGAAGCCAAAAGGACUGAUGUACACCAUUGCUAUAUUCCUCUCCUUACUGAUGAAGAUAACAAAAAGUAGCUGAAUAUGUGAGUGAGCAUUACCUUAUCCUUAAUACCACCAACAGG
Molecule: unclassified non-coding RNA, 1960 nt
Filed under: Hevea brasiliensis (rubber tree)
Lineage: Eukaryota; Viridiplantae; Streptophyta; Magnoliopsida; Malpighiales; Euphorbiaceae
Source: RNAcentral